This 77-nucleotide transfer RNA is filed under the name Ktedonobacterales bacterium. RNAcentral's name for it is "tRNA-Pro". It matches the Rfam family "tRNA". Rfam says of the family: Transfer RNA (tRNA) molecules are approximately 80 nucleotides in length. Their secondary structure includes four short double-helical elements and three loops (D, anti-codon, and T loops). Further hydrogen bonds mediate the characteristic L-shaped molecular structure. tRNAs have two regions of fundamental functional importance: the anti-codon, which is responsible for specific mRNA codon recognition, and the 3' end, to which the tRNAs corresponding amino acid is attached (by aminoacyl-tRNA synthetases). tRNAs cope with the degeneracy of the genetic code in two manners: having more than one tRNA (with a specific anti-codon) for a particular amino acid; and 'wobble' base-pairing, i.e. permitting non-standard base-pairing at the 3rd anti-codon position. Lineage: Bacteria; Bacillati; Chloroflexota; Ktedonobacteria; Ktedonobacterales. RNAcentral also lists the same sequence under 1 other name. The record is from RNAcentral.
CGGGGUGUAGCGCAGUUGGUUAGCGCGCAGCGUUCGGGACGCUGAGGUCGGAGGUUCGAGUCCUCUCACCCCGACCA